AUGAACGCUAGCGGCAGGCUUAAUACAUGCAAGUUGAGGGGCAGCAUGAUAUACGCGAGUAUAUUGAUGGCGACCGGCGACGGGUGAGUAAUAGGUAGGAGACCUACCUCAUACAGGGGGAUAGCAUAGAGAAAUCUGUGGUAAUACCCCAUGAGGUUAUAUGAAUAGAGGCAUAUAAUCAAAGCAUAAGCGAUUAUGCGGUAUGAGAGGGCCUACUGACCAUUAGCUAGUUGGUGAGGUAAGGGCUCACCAAGGCGAAGAUGGUUAGGGGUUUUGAGAGAGAGACCCCCCACAUUGGAACUGAGAGACGGUCCAGACUCCUACGGGAGGCAGCAGUAGGGAAUAUUGGGCAAUGGGCGAAAGCCUGACCCAGCCAUGCCGCGUGAAGGAAGACGGCCUUAUGGGUUGUAAACUUCUUUACUACGCGAAUAGAGGUUAGUACGAGAUACUAAUAGGAAGGUAGUGUAGUAAAAAGCACCGGCUAACUCCGUG
Molecule: ribosomal RNA, 492 nt
Filed under: uncultured bacterium
Lineage: Bacteria
Description: bacterial SSU rRNA
Rfam family: Bacterial small subunit ribosomal RNA
Source: RNAcentral